UGCGGGGGUGAUUAGUGGCGAACGGGUGAGUAAUACGUGAGUAACCUGCCCUUGACUCUGGGAUAAGCCUGGGAAACCGGGUCUAAUACUGGAUACUACUUCCUGCCGCAUGGUGGGGGGUGGAAAGGGUUUUACUGGUUUUGGAUGGGCUCACGGCCUAUCAGCUUGUUGGUGGGGUAAUGGCUCACCAAGGCGACGACGGGUAGCCGGCCUGAGAGGGUGACCGGCCACACUGGGACUGAGACACGGCCCAGACUCCUACGGGAGGCAGCAGUGGGGAAUAUUGCACAAUGGGCGGAAGCCUGAUGCAGCGACGCCGCGUGAGGGAUGACGGCCUUCGGGUUGUAAACCUCUUUCAGCAGGGAAGAAGCCACAAGUGACGGUACCUGCAGAAGAAGCGCCGGCUAACUACGUGCCAGCAGCCGCGGUAAUACGUAGGGCGCAAGCGUUGUCCGGAAUUAUUGGGCGUAAAGAGCUCGUAGGCGGUUUGUCGCGUCUGCUGUGAAAGCCCGGGGCUCAACCCCGGGUCUGCAGUGGGUACGGGCAGACUAGAGUGCAGUAGGGGAGACUGGAAUUCCUGGUGUAGCGGUGAAAUGCGCAGAUAUCAGGAG
RNAcentral lists this ribosomal RNA (611 nucleotides) under Kocuria sediminis. RNAcentral's name for it is "bacterial SSU rRNA". It matches the Rfam family "Bacterial small subunit ribosomal RNA", at positions 81 to 703 of the family's 1533-position model. Lineage: Bacteria; Bacillati; Actinomycetota; Actinomycetes; Micrococcales; Micrococcaceae. The record is from RNAcentral.